RNAcentral lists this ribosomal RNA (451 nucleotides) under uncultured bacterium. Its description in RNAcentral is "partial 16S ribosomal RNA". It matches the Rfam family "Bacterial small subunit ribosomal RNA", at positions 354 to 796 of the family's 1533-position model. The record is from RNAcentral.
GUAGGGAAUAUUGCGCAAUGGGGGAAACCCUGACGCAGCAACGCCGCGUGAGUGAGGAAGGUCUUCGGAUUGUAAAACUCUUUUAUUAGGGAAAAAUGUCUAGGUGGCUAAUAUCCACUUAGAGUGAUGGUACCUAAGGAAUAAGCACCGGCUAACUUCGUGCCAGCAGCCGCGGUAAUACGAAGGGUGCAAGCGUUGUUCGGAAUCAUUGGGCGUAAAGCGCGCGCAGGCGGGUCAGUAAGUCAGGUGUGAAAUCUCGGAGCUCAACUCCGAAACUGCGCCUGAAACUAUUGGUCUAGAGUAUCGGAGGGGACAGGGGAAUUUCACGUGUAGGGGUAAAAUCCGUAGAGAUGUGAAGGAACACCGGAGGCGAAGGCGCCUGUCUGGACGAUUACUGACGCUGAGGCGCGAAAGCGUGGGGAGCAAACAGGAUUAGAUACCCGUGUAGUCC